This is a long non-coding RNA of Aegilops tauschii subsp. strangulata, 948 nucleotides long. RefSeq lists it as uncharacterized. The record is from RefSeq and is a predicted model, not a curated record. NCBI's taxonomy places the organism in Eukaryota, Viridiplantae, Streptophyta, Magnoliopsida, Poales, Poaceae.
AUCCCCUCUGAUCUUACCCUUGCUGGUAUUCGGUGUGGCUUGGCCAUCAUGCCAAGGCUGUUUCUUUUCCAGAAAUUUUGACGAUUAUCUAUGCUACCUUGAUCACUCGCCUGAUCUAUGCAUCCAUGCCACUCCCCGAUCCGAGUUCUCCACUGUAGUUGUGCGCGCACUGAAAUACCAGGUUGUAAGUACCAGGGAAUCAGUGUGUACUUAACUAAUUUACGGCUGUUUGUUUUUGCUAAUAACAGCUUGAUGACAUGGCACAGAUAGUCUGAUAUAUUCUGUAACUUCAGUUUUUUUCGAGAUUGUAUUCUGUAACUUCUUCAUUGUGCUUGGUAAAAAAAAUAUCUUCUAUGUUUACGCCACAAAACUUUGGAUCUGUAAGUAAUGCUAACAAUGCCUAACAGUUUUGAUAGCUUUUAUUUGGGACUGACUGACAGUAUACACUCUUUUUUUGCUUCUUUGCACUGUUAUAUUAUUUCAGUUUCCUAACAUACAGAAAAGCCCCGAUCUGUUAUCUUCAGGUUGUAGUUGAGACUUCAUUUAUGCCGAGUAUGCUGUAGCAGCUGAACAUCGUCAUCGCUCAAAUGUGUAGGAGUGCCUGCUUUCCAUGAUGUACCGAUGUCAUUGAUGUGCCUUUUGUGAUGAGAAAGGAACUAGGUAUUGCAGAUGAUGUUACGGUGGUCAUUUUCUACAUUUGAGGACAGAUUGCCAAGAUAAAUAGAGGAUGCAUGGAUAAGUUGUUUUUGGCAAGGCAGAGAAUGGGACUACUACCAACAUAGUUUUACGUUAAGUUUUUAGAAAGCCGUUUUCAUGGUCAGUGUAUAGAAAAUGAUGUGACGUCAUUUUCAGGGUCAAUGUAAAGAAAAUCAUGUGUUUACUCUUUUGAUUUUGUUCCAUGUAAUGCAACCAAUCAGAUUCAAUAUAUGAGCUCUCCCUAUUUACUGA